Molecule: ribosomal RNA, 396 nt
Filed under: uncultured bacterium
Lineage: Bacteria
Description: partial 16S ribosomal RNA
Rfam family: Bacterial small subunit ribosomal RNA
Source: RNAcentral
AUACGUAGGGAGCGAGCUUUGUCCGGAAUUACUGGGUGUAAAGGGAGCGUAGGCGGGAGUGCAAGUCAGAUGUGAAAUACAUGGGCUCAACCCAUGGGCUGCAUUUGAAACUGCAUUUCUUGAGUGAAGUAGAGGUAAGCGGAAUUCCUGGUGUAGCGGUGAAAUGCGUAGAUAUCAGGAGGAACACCGGUGGCGAAGGCGGCUUACUGGGCUUUUACUGACGCUGAGGCUCGAAAGCGGGGGGAGCAAACAGGAUUAGAGACCCUGGUAGUCCACGUUGUAAACGAUGAUUACUAGGUGUGGGGGGACUGACCCCUUCCGUGCCGCAGUUAACACAAUAAGUAAUCCGCCUGGGGAGUACGGCCGCAAGGUUGAAACUCAAAUGAAUUGACGGGG